RNAcentral lists this ribosomal RNA (376 nucleotides) under uncultured eukaryote. RNAcentral's name for it is "partial 18S ribosomal RNA". It matches the Rfam family "Eukaryotic small subunit ribosomal RNA", at positions 592 to 977 of the family's 1831-position model. The record is from RNAcentral.
CAAUAGCGUAUAUUUAAGUUGUUGCAGUUAAAAAGCUCGUAGUUGGAUUUCGGUUAAGAGCGACCGGUCCGCCGUUUGGUGUGCACUGGUUGGUUUUAACUUCCUGUAGAGGACGUGCUCUGGGUUUAACGACCUGGACUCGGAGUCUACGUGGUUACUUUGAAAAAAUUAGAGUGUUCAAAGCGGGCUUACGCUUGAAUAUUUCAGCAUGGAAUAACACUAUAGGACUCCUGUCCUAUUUCGUUGGUCUCGGGACGGGAGUAAUGAUUAAGAGGAACAGUUGGGGGCAUUCGUAUUUCAUUGUCAGAGGUGAAAUUCUUGGAUUUAUGAAAGACGAACUUCUGCGAAAGCAUUUGCCAAGGAUGUUUUCAUUAAU